Microtus oregoni (creeping vole) is the source of this 239-nucleotide long non-coding RNA. RefSeq lists it as uncharacterized. Lineage: Eukaryota; Metazoa; Chordata; Mammalia; Rodentia; Cricetidae. The record is from RefSeq and is a predicted model, not a curated record. The transcript is spliced from 3 exons.
GGAGGAUCAGCUCUGCCAGGAGUAAACUUCCUCUCUCAGCUCCAACCCUGUCAUUGUCCUGAGACUGCUCUUCUGGCUCCAAUCCCUGGAGAGUCACACACGGAGAGACGCAAAGAGCUCAGGUAUGGGUUCUUGCCUGCAUUUAUGUCUGAGCACUGGUGCCUACGGAGGCCCAAAGAAGGUGCCAUAUUCCCUGGAACUGGAAUUAUACAUGGUUGACAAUUAGUGAAAACAAGAGG